CAUUUAUUCAUGCUACCAAAGAAACCUUCUUAAAUGAAUUAUAUUGUUUUUUUCAUGGAAACAUUAAUUAUGCUUUACAGUUAAAUAAUACUAACAUAGCUUAAACAUAAACAAAUUCUUUACUUAAGAAUUGAAUGAAAUAAUCCUCUGGAAAACAUUGAAAUGUUAGUUAUUUCAGCAUAAUUGCUUGAUUAUGUGAAAAAGAAUCAAAUGCAAAUUUGUUCCUUGUAAAAUGAAUAGAAAUUCAAAGUUUCCCAAAUCAUCUUUAUUUAAAUUAAAAGAAAGUUACUGUCUUUGUAAUAAAAUAAUAAUGUUGUAUUAAAAUAAAAACAUUCUCAAUAGUAAAUGGUUUUGCAGAUGAGUUUUGCUGAUAAACCUACGAUUUGAACAUCUGGAUUCAUUCUAGCAGCAGUAUUUAUUU
RNAcentral lists this long non-coding RNA (421 nucleotides) under Bos taurus (domestic cattle). RNAcentral describes it as "long non-coding RNA NONBTAT016524". The record is from RNAcentral. Lineage: Eukaryota; Metazoa; Chordata; Mammalia; Artiodactyla; Bovidae.